GAAGACAGAACUCGAUUGGUUGAGUGUUUCACUUUUAAUGAAAAGGUUUUUGGUUCGAGCCCAAAUGUUUUCA
This 73-nucleotide transfer RNA is filed under the name Armillaria borealis. Its description in RNAcentral is "tRNA-Lys". It matches the Rfam family "tRNA". From Rfam's summary of the family: Transfer RNA (tRNA) molecules are approximately 80 nucleotides in length. The record is from RNAcentral. Lineage: Eukaryota; Fungi; Basidiomycota; Agaricomycetes; Agaricales; Physalacriaceae. RNAcentral also lists the same sequence under 12 other names.